This 751-nucleotide unclassified non-coding RNA is filed under the name Hevea brasiliensis (rubber tree). The record is from RNAcentral. Lineage: Eukaryota; Viridiplantae; Streptophyta; Magnoliopsida; Malpighiales; Euphorbiaceae.
ACAAAAUCCUUAAAUCAUGUAGAAAAGAAAAUUGGAAAAGAGAAUUGGAAAAGAGAAUUAUAUGUUGAAGAGGCCUAGCCAUGUGUCCCCAAAAAUUGAAGAAAUUGUCAAUGGAGGCAGGAAAUCAAAUUUAUCUGGGACUUUUGAUAGGUGAACUUGUUCUAUCCUUAUUGUCAUUUUCUAUUCCUGUCAUAUCGUAUCAGUUCGUCUAUAAACUAAUUAUUAAAACUAUUUUGGAGGACAUGCAUAUAUUCUAGUUAUUUAUUGUUAAUGUACCCUUAACAUCUUUGAGUUUCUCAAUUUGGUUCAUUUAUGAAUAUAUCCUUCAAUCUAUAUUUCAUGUUCAAAAAUUUUUUUGUUGUUGAUGAAAUAUAAUUUAAGAAUGAAUUCUCAUGUUCUUUUCAUUUUUGCUUUGGAGGCUUAAAUUUUGAUGACAAACUUUAUCAGCUGUUGGUCCAUUAGUAUGAAACAGAUUUUUACAUUUUUUGUGAAAUAAUAGGGAAGAAGAUAGGUCCAGGUUUUCAGCUAAUAUGGUCCUUGCACUGCAAGCAACUUCUUUUCGACCAGGUGACCUACAACUUCCCUUGUAAUGAGAGCAACAUCAGCUACUUGACUCUUCAUUCUGAUUGAUGCAGAAUCCACAUUAUAAAUAUCCAACAUGAUUUGCUCAUUCAAUGAAUGUAGCUAGGGCUGUGUAGUUUUCGGUGUGAACCGAAGAACCAAACCAAGCCAUUUCGGUUCAAUCGGUUCG